UGUCCAUUGUUGGACCAGUUAUUGGAGUCAUUCUCAUUAUUCUCCUGCUCUUGCUGUGGCGCUACAGAAAGUCCAAAGAUUUAAACUGUAUCAGACUGAUUCAAUCAGAGAGCAGCAAUCAAACCUCAGCCACCAAUCAUGGAGGGACCCAGACUGAUAGUCCCGUUUACAGCUCACUGCUU
Molecule: long non-coding RNA, 182 nt
Organism: Fundulus heteroclitus (mummichog)
Lineage: Eukaryota; Metazoa; Chordata; Actinopteri; Cyprinodontiformes; Fundulidae
Exons: 3
Source: RefSeq, a predicted model, not a curated record